RNAcentral lists this ribosomal RNA (245 nucleotides) under uncultured bacterium. RNAcentral's name for it is "partial small subunit ribosomal RNA". It matches the Rfam family "Bacterial small subunit ribosomal RNA", at positions 26 to 285 of the family's 1533-position model. The record is from RNAcentral.
AGAAUCAACGCUGGCGGCGUGCCUAACACAUGCAAGUCGAACGAGAAAGUGGAGCAAUCCAUGAGUAAAGUGGCGCACGGGUGAGUAACACGUGACUAACCUACCCUUGAGUGGGGAAUAACCUCGGGAAACCGGGGCUAAUACCGCAUAACACCUACGGGUCAAAGGAGCAAUUCGCUUAAGGAGGGGGUCGCGGCAGAUUAGUUAGUUGGCGGGGUAAUGGCCCACCAAGACAGUGAUCUGUA